GGGCGCUGUCUUCCUGUGGAUAGCGUUCCAGUGUACUAGCACUAUAAAGUCCUGCAACUACGGUAGGCUAGCACAAAGCAGUCGAAAUUUACAUACACCCUUUGGUUUUUUAUUUAUUUUAUUUUGUUUUAUUUUACUUCUCUUCUUUUUCAGUACAUACAAAACAUCUCACUAAUUAUUUUUGCAAAACUCACACACACAAAUUUCGGC
This 210-nucleotide long non-coding RNA is filed under the name Mytilus galloprovincialis (Mediterranean mussel). Lineage: Eukaryota; Metazoa; Mollusca; Bivalvia; Mytilida; Mytilidae. The record is from RNAcentral.